GCCAGGUUAGAAGGGUCUGGGAUUCCUUUAUGAGGUGCAACCAAAACAGCUGUUAGAAAUAGCAACAGGGAUAUUCUGGCAGGCUGUCGAGAAUUAGUUCUUGAAUACUGUUGUGGUUUUGAUCACUAAUAUGGCUGUGACUUUUGGAUUCUCUUUGAGGUAACGCUCAUGGGCAUCCUGCCUACACUGGACCUGAACCAACUGGAUCCUAUGCCCAAGCAAGAGUGGUGUCUGGUCCAAAUGCUAAAGCUACUGGCCACAAUGCCACGUCAGCAGAAGCUACUGGCCACAAUGCCACGUCAGCAGAAGCGUCCGGCCCCGGCGCCUCAGCAGAAGCGACAAGCCUUGAACAGACGGCCCGACCACUCAACUAGGGAGAUCAUCAUUUGGUUUGGCCAACUCCUUGUCUUACACCUGUUACUGUGCCUCUUGAAGAAAAGGGUAAAGGUGCCAACUAAUGUGCUUGUUUGAAAUGAGGAUCUCCUUCACAUCAUCAUGCAAAUUGUUUACAGGGGUGGACGAUACAAUGUUAUGAAUUGUUUUUAAAACCAUACGACUAAAAUAGACUUCUGAUGUAGUGAUAUUGCUGAGACACUUUCAGGUUCUACGGUUAUGCUUUUGAUUUAGCCUGGUGUUCCUGCUACUCUUGCAUGAUUUGCUCAAUAAACCAUGACUUUCAAAA
Molecule: non-coding RNA, 682 nt
Organism: Oncorhynchus mykiss (rainbow trout)
Lineage: Eukaryota; Metazoa; Chordata; Actinopteri; Salmoniformes; Salmonidae
Source: RefSeq, a predicted model, not a curated record